This 465-nucleotide ribosomal RNA is filed under the name uncultured bacterium. RNAcentral's name for it is "partial 16S ribosomal RNA". It matches the Rfam family "Bacterial small subunit ribosomal RNA", at positions 28 to 507 of the family's 1533-position model. The record is from RNAcentral.
GACGAACGCUGGCGGCGUGCUUAACACAUGCAAGUCGUACGGUAAGGCCCUUUCGGGGGUACACGAGUGGCGAACGGGUGCGUAACACGUGAGUAACCUGCCCACAACUUUGGGAUAACGCUAGGUAACUGGUGCUAAUACUGGAUAUGUGCCCCUGCUGCAUGGUGGGGGUUGGAAAGCUCCGGCGGUUGUGGAUGGACUCGCGGCCUAUCAGCUUGUUGGUGGGGUAGUGGCCUACCAAGGCGGCGACGGGUAGCCGGCCUGAGAGGGUGACCGGCCACAUUGGGACUGAGAUACGGCCCAGACUCCUACGGGAGGCAGCAGUGGGGAAUAUUGCACAAUGGGCGCAAGCCUGAUGCAGCAACGCCGCGUGCGGGAUGACGGCCUUCGGGUUGUAAACCGCUUUCAGCAGGGACGAAGCUUUUUGUGACGGUACCUGCAGAAGAAGCACCGGCUAACUACGUG